GGAAGGUGGGGAUGACGUCAAAUCAGCACGGCCCUUAUGUCCAGGGCUACACACGUGUUACAAUGGUCGGUACAGAGGGCAGCUACCUGGUGACAGGAUGCUAAUCUCGAAAACCGGUCUCAGUUCGGAUCGAAGUCUGCAACUCGACUUUGUGAAGCUGGAUUCGCUAGUAAUCGCGCAUCAGCUAUGGCGCGGUGAAUACGUUCCCGGGCCUU
This 215-nucleotide ribosomal RNA is filed under the name uncultured Sphingobacteriales bacterium. Its description in RNAcentral is "partial 16S ribosomal RNA". It matches the Rfam family "Bacterial small subunit ribosomal RNA", at positions 1168 to 1382 of the family's 1533-position model. The record is from RNAcentral. Lineage: Bacteria; Pseudomonadati; Bacteroidota; Sphingobacteriia; Sphingobacteriales.